RNAcentral lists this ribosomal RNA (409 nucleotides) under Cyclocephala tutilina. RNAcentral describes it as "partial 12S ribosomal RNA". Lineage: Eukaryota; Metazoa; Arthropoda; Insecta; Coleoptera; Scarabaeidae. The record is from RNAcentral.
GAUUAGAUACCCUAUUAUUAAAAAUGUAAAUUUAAAUGCUAGAGUAGUAAUAGUUAUGUUCUUGAAAUUCAAAAAAUCUGGCGGUAUUUUAGUCUAUUCAGAGGAACCUGUCCUGUAAUUGAUAUUCCACGAUUUAUCAUACUUAUUUUUAGUUUGUAUAUCGUCGUAGUUUGAAUGUUUUUAAAAAAAUUGAAAUAUUCAAAAUUUAAUUGUUUAAAAAAAAUCAGAUCAAGAUACAGCGUAUAAAUAAGAAGAGAUGGGUUACAAUAAAUUUAUUUAUAUGGUUAAAAUAGUUAAAAUUAUUUUAUAAAGUGGAUUUGAUAGUAAUAAAAUUUAAAUAAAUUUUAUGAUUUUAGCUCUAAAAUAUGUACAUAUCGCCCGUCGCUCCUUCCUUAAAGAUGGAUAAGUC